UACGAAGGGGGCUAGCGUUGCUCGGAAUUACUGGGCGUAAAGGGCGCGUAGGCGGCCAGAUUAGUCAGGCGUGAAAUUCCUGGGCUCAACCUGGGGACUGCGCUUGAUACGGUUUGGCUUGAGGGCAGGAGAGGCUCGCGGAAUUCCCAGUGUAGAGGUGAAAUUCGUAGAUAUUGGGAAGAACACCGGUGGCGAAGGCGGCGAGCUGGCCUGUUACUGACGCUGAGGCGCGACAGCGUGGGGAGCAAACAGGAUUAGAAACCCCCGUAGUCC
RNAcentral lists this ribosomal RNA (273 nucleotides) under uncultured bacterium. Its description in RNAcentral is "partial 16S ribosomal RNA". It matches the Rfam family "Bacterial small subunit ribosomal RNA", at positions 524 to 796 of the family's 1533-position model. The record is from RNAcentral.